Molecule: long non-coding RNA, 1124 nt
Organism: Acinonyx jubatus (cheetah)
Lineage: Eukaryota; Metazoa; Chordata; Mammalia; Carnivora; Felidae
Exons: 4
Source: RefSeq, a predicted model, not a curated record
CGAGCGCCAACCGCUCAAGGGCCUGGGCAGAGGUCCCGGGAGCGCCGAGCCCCAGAGCCCUUUCCUUCCUUCCUCGGCCCUUCCGGGCGCCUUCCCUCCUCUCUGCCCUCUUUCCUUCCUCCCUCCCUUUCUUCCUGAACUUACUGAGCGCCUACUCUGGGCCAGCCACGGUUCCAGGCACCGGGGGGGCACAGGGGUGAACAACAGCCAGGCGCCAGGCCCUGGAGCCGGUGGUCCGCCCAGGGAGACAGACCUCACCCGUGCCAACACCUUGACAGACCAAGUCACAGAGAGCCACAACGAGGACAGAGCGGAAGUGAACAGUCGGCUGGUUGACUCUGCCCCGAUAAGGCUGCAACGCUUUCAAAAGAGCGGGACUGAUUCACCCCUUCUCCGAAUCCAAAGCUCAGAGACGUGGGAAUCCCCAAGGUCACGCAGCUCGCACACACUGCUGGACACGGGGACACAGUGAUGGCGGAGACAGAGAAGUACCCCUGCGCUGACGCAUAGAUACCGCAGUGCGACAGGUGUGUUUCCUUCUUCUGUUCAUCAAGUGUUUGCUGAGCACCUACUCUGCGCCUGGCUCCAGGCCCCAGGGAGACAGCAGGAAACAAACCAGACAAUCUCCGGAAGGAUAAACAGGAAGAAGGUCUUCACGUGGGACAGUGACAGACAACCCACAGGAGGUCCGUCCGCAUGACCACGCCUCACCCAUCGAUGCGGCGAUGGUCCAUGGCCGUCCCCGGGGAAGUCCCCCCCAGUCCCCCAAGUGCUCUGGCCAGGGCGCAGCGUGGACCCUCCCUAGGGAAGAUGCUCCCAGUCCCCCAAGUGCCCUCCGGCCGGGGCGCAGUAUGGAUCGUCCCCGGGGAAGUCCCCCCCAGUCCCCCAAGUGUCCUCCAGCCGGGGCGCAUUGUGGACUGUCCCUGGUGAAGUCCCCCCCCCCCAGGCCCCCAAGUGCCCUGGCUGGGGCGCAGUGUGGACUAUCCCUAGGGAAGACCCUCCCAGUCCCCUAAGUGCCCCCACCCCGGGGCGCAGUGUGUCUGCAUUCGCAGGGCAAAGGCCGGGAGCAGCAGGUGCUGGCAGGCAGGUGGCCUGACGGGAGGCGCGGUCCUCUGCCAGCGGCC